Molecule: long non-coding RNA, 439 nt
Organism: Brassica napus (rape)
Lineage: Eukaryota; Viridiplantae; Streptophyta; Magnoliopsida; Brassicales; Brassicaceae
Exons: 4
Source: RefSeq, a predicted model, not a curated record
UGCAGAAGCUGAACAAUAACAGCCUGACAGGAACAAUUCCUACCUCGGUGGCAAACAUGACCCAACUAAUUCUUUUGGAUCUAUCUUACAGCAACUUGAGUGGACCAUUCCAACCUUACAUGCCAAUACAUUCAACGUAAUGGGCAAUCCUCAGAUAUGUUCAACUGGAACCGAGGAAGAGUGCAACGAGACUCAUCCUAAACCAAAGUCACUUAUCUUCAGCAGUUCUGACCCAUCUGAUGGAGGAACAAUAAACCAGAAUUCGCGGUACAAUUCGGUUUAAGCCUUGCAUGUAUUCUGUGUAUCGAUCAUUCAUUAGCUUUGGUUUUUAUUUAGAUUAAACUGUAUUAGAAGAUUGUGAUAAUAAUGAUGUAAAAGCUAGACUUUAUUUGGGAAUUUUACCAUGUAUAAUAAAUACUAAAGUUAUGGAAUGUCAAUA